This 483-nucleotide ribosomal RNA is filed under the name uncultured bacterium. RNAcentral describes it as "partial 16S ribosomal RNA". It matches the Rfam family "Bacterial small subunit ribosomal RNA", at positions 30 to 506 of the family's 1533-position model. The record is from RNAcentral.
AUUGAACGCUGGCGGCAUGCCUUACACAUGCAAGUCGAACGGCAGCGCGGGAGCAAUCCUGGCGGCGAGUGGCGAACGGGUGAGUAAUACAUCGGAACGUGCCCAAUCGUGGGGGAUAACGCAGCGAAAGCUGUGCUAAUACCGCAUACGAUCUACGGAUGAAAGCAGGGGAUCGCAAGACCUUGCGCGAAUGGAGCGGCCGAUGGCAGAUUAGGUAGUUGGUGAGGUAAAGGCUCACCAAGCCUUCGAUCUGUAGCUGGUCUGAGAGGACGACCAGCCACACUGGGCCUGAGACACGGCCCAGACUCCUACGGGAGGCAGCAGUGGGGAAUUUUGGACAAUGGGCGAAAGCCUGAUCCAGCCAUGCCGCGUGCAGGAUGAAGGCCUUCGGGUUGUAAACUGCUUUUGUACGGAACGAAACGGUCUUUUCUAAUAAAGAAGGCUAAUGACGGUACCGUAAGAAUAAGCACCGGCUAACUACGU